RNAcentral lists this ribosomal RNA (497 nucleotides) under uncultured bacterium. Its description in RNAcentral is "partial 16S ribosomal RNA". It matches the Rfam family "Bacterial small subunit ribosomal RNA", at positions 28 to 507 of the family's 1533-position model. The record is from RNAcentral.
GACGAACGCUGGCGGCGUGCCUAAUACAUGCAAGUAGAACGCUGAAGAGAGGAGCUUGCUCUUCUUGGAUGAGUUGCGAACGGGUGAGUAACGCGUAGGUAACCUGCCUUGUAGCGGGGGAUAACUAUUGGAAACGAUAGCUAAUACCGCAUAACAAUGGAUGACACAUGUCAUUUAUUUGAAAGGGGCAAUUGCUCCACUACAAGAUGGACCUGCGUUGUAUUAGCUAGUAGGUGAGGUAACGGCUCACCUAGGCGACGAUACAUAGCCGACCUGAGAGGGUGAUCGGCCACACUGGGACUGAGACACGGCCCAGACUCCUACGGGAGGCAGCAGUAGGGAAUCUUCGGCAAUGGGGGCAACCCUGACCGAGCAACGCCGCGUGAGUGAAGAAGGGUGUCGGAUCGUAAAGCUCUGUUGUAAGUCAAGAACGAGUGUGAGAGUGGAAAGUUUACACUGUGACGGUAGCUUACCAGAAAGGGACGGCUAACUACGUG